RNAcentral lists this ribosomal RNA (1630 nucleotides) under Arborophila crudigularis (Taiwan partridge). Its description in RNAcentral is "16S ribosomal RNA". It matches the Rfam family "Bacterial large subunit ribosomal RNA". The record is from RNAcentral. Lineage: Eukaryota; Metazoa; Chordata; Aves; Galliformes; Phasianidae.
UCCGCCCUCCCUCUAGCCCAACCAACAUCAUGUCCACUGCUAUUAACAAAACACCUCCACACCUAACCAAAACAUUCUAACUUUGUCUCAGUAUAGGAGAUAGAAAAGACCUCAGGCGCAAUAGAGAUCAACUGUACCGUAAGGGAAAGAUGAAAUAACAGUGAAAACCAUUAAGCCAAAAGUAGUAAAGACCAACCCUUGUACCUUUUGCAUCAUGAUUUAGCAAGAACAACCAAGCAAAGCGAACUAAAGUUUGCCCCCCCGAAACCCAAGCGAGCUACUUGCGAGCAGCUAAAGAUCUGAGCGAACCCGUCUCUGUCGCAAAAGAGUGGGAUGACUCGCCAGUAGAGGUGAAAAGCCAAUCGAGCUGGGUGAUAGCUGGUUAUCUGCCAAAUGAAUCUAAGUUCUACCUUAACCCCCCCCCCCAAAGGACACCCCAACCCUAAACCAGCAUACAUUGGGAUUAAGAGCAACUCGACGGAGGUACAGCUCCGUCGAAAAAGAACACAACCUCCCCCAGCGGAUAAUAACACCCCCCCCCCCUUUUUUUUACCGUAGGCCUUCAAGCAGCCAUCAACAAAGAGUGCGUCUAAGCUCACCCACUAAAAAAUCAUAAAUCCUACUUGACUCCCUCAUCCAAAGCAGAUUAACCUAUGACAAUAGAAGAACUAAUGCUAAAAUAAGUAACUUGGGACUCCCCUCACAGCGCAAACUUACGCCCACAAACCAUUAACAGACUCAACUUAUACUCACACUUACCACAAGAACAUGUAUCUAACCCAACCUGUUGAGGCCGACAUCGGAGCGCUCGCAAGACGAUUAAAAUCCGCAGAAGGAACUCGGCAAAUCAAAGACCCGACUGUUUCCCAAAAACAUAGCCUUCAGCCAAAACUAACAAGUAUUGAAGGUGAUGCCUGCCCAGUGACACAAAAUGUUUAACGGCCGCGGUAUCCUAACCGUGCAAAGGUAGCGCAAUCAAUUGUCUCGUAAAUUGAGACUUGUAUGAAAGGCUAAACGAGGUCUUAACUGUCUCCUGCCGAUAAUCAGUGAAAUUAGUAUUCCCGUGAAAAAACGAGAAUGUGGUCAUAAGACGAGAAGACCCUGUGGAACUUCAAAAUCAUCAACCACCCUUAUAUUAAUAUAACCCACCCUGGGCUCAACCUACAAAACGCCUGGUUGACAUUUUUCGGUUGGGGCGACCUUGGAGAAAAACAAAUCCUCCAAACCUAUAGACCACACCUCUUUACUAAGACCCACCUCUCAAAGUACUAACAGUAACCCAGACCCAAUACAAUUGAUCAAUGGACCAAGCUACCCCAGGGAUAACAGCGCAAUCUCCUCCAAGAGCCCGUAUCGACGAGGAGGUUUACGACCUCGAUGUUGGAUCAGGACAACCUAAUGGUGCAGCCGCUAUUAAGGGUUCGUUUGUUCAACGAUUAACAGUCCUACGUGAUCUGAGUUCAGACCGGAGCAAUCCAGGUCGGUUUCUAUCUAUGCAUGCACUCCUCCUAGUACGAAAGGACUGGAGAAGUAGGGUCAAUACUACCAGCACACCCUAAUCCUCUAAGCAAUGAACCCAACUCAACUGCUAAGAGAACUUACCUACACUCCGCUCCUAGAAAAGGACACA